Molecule: ribosomal RNA, 253 nt
Filed under: uncultured bacterium
Lineage: Bacteria
Description: partial 16S ribosomal RNA
Rfam family: Bacterial small subunit ribosomal RNA
Source: RNAcentral
GACGGAGGAUGCAAGCGUUAUCCGGAAUGAUUGGGCGUAAAGCGUCCGCAGGUGGCAGUUCAAGUCUGCUGUCAAAGACCGAGGCUUAACUUCGGAAAGGCAGUGGAAACUGAACAGCUAGAGUAUGGUAGGGGCAGAGGGAAUUCCUGGUGUAGCGGUGAAAUGCGUAGAGAUCAGGAAGAACAUCGGUGGCGAAAGCGCUCUGCUGGACCAUAACUGACACUCAGGGACGAAAGCUAGGGGAGCGAAUGGG